GAUGAAGAACGCAGCGAAAUGCGAUAAGUAAUGUGAAUUGCAGAAUUCCGUGAAUCAUCGAAUCUUUGAACGCACAUUGCGCCCCCUGGUAUUCCGGGGGGCAUGCCUGUCCGAGCGUCAUUGCUGCCCUCAAGCACGGCUUGUGUGUUGGGCCCCGUCCUCCGAUCCCGGGGGACGGGCCCGAAAGGCAGCGGCGGCACCGCGUCCGGUCCUCGAGCGUAUGGGGCUUUGUCACCCGCUCUGUAGGCCCGGCCGGCGCUUGCCGAUCAACCCAAAUUUUUAUCCAGGUUGACCUCGGAUCAGGUAGGGAUACCCGCUGAACUUAAGCAUAUCAAUAAGCGGAGGA
This 346-nucleotide unclassified non-coding RNA is filed under the name soil metagenome. Its description in RNAcentral is "partial contains 5.8S ribosomal RNA, internal transcribed spacer 2, and large subunit ribosomal RNA". The stretch from base 1 to 120 matches the Rfam family "5.8S ribosomal RNA", at positions 35 to 154 of the family's 154-position model. The record is from RNAcentral.